UAAACUCCAUCAUUUCCAAGUCUGAUGCUAAAGUUUAAUUCCCAUUCAUUUCCUUUUCAAAACUCAGCAACCUUUCAUUUUUAUUUUUAAAAAUAGAAGCUUUAACCCCUUCCCCUAGUGUUUGAUUCAACAUGCAGCUGCCUAAACCAUCAUUUAUUUGAUGUCCGACUGUGCACCAAUGGCGAUCGAACCUUGUCAACGGAGGACACGCCCACGGAGAUCGAGUGAUGGGACGAUGGGAUGGGGUUAGGUGGUGGCAGCAGGUACAAAGGCUGAACAUAGGGCUAGGUUUUUUUCUUUUUCUGAUUUUGUUUGGGCUAGGGUUAGUUUGGUUUAGGUUGAAUUUGGGCUUUCUACAUAGAUCACUUUUAAUUUGGGCUAACCUAUCAUGAUAGUAAAUAAUAACAUGUAAUUACCCUUAUUAUAUAUGUGAUGUCCAUAUUUUCCAACA
Molecule: long non-coding RNA, 451 nt
Organism: Gossypium arboreum
Lineage: Eukaryota; Viridiplantae; Streptophyta; Magnoliopsida; Malvales; Malvaceae
Exons: 2
Source: RefSeq, a predicted model, not a curated record